UACGCUGGCGGCACGCCUAACACAUGCAAGUCGAACGAAGUAGUAAUACUUAGUGGCAGACGGGUGAGUAACAUGUAGGUAUCUGCCCUUUGGCCUGGAAUAACACGAGGAAACUUGUGCUAAUACCGGAUAAGUCUUUACGGAGAAAGCUUUAUGCACCAUUGGAUGAGCCUGCACUUGAUUAGUUUGUUGGUGGGGUAAUGGCCUACCAAGACUGUGAUCAAUAGCUGAUUUGAGAGGAUGAUCAGCCACAUUGGGACUGAGACACGGCCCAAACUCCUACGGGAGGCAGCAGUGGGGAAUCUUGCACAAUGGAGGAAACUCUGAUGCAGCGAUGCCGCGUGAGUGAAGAAGGCCCUUGGGUUGUAAAGCUCUUUCGUCGGGGAAGAAAAUGACUGUACCCGAAUAAGAAGGUC
RNAcentral lists this ribosomal RNA (416 nucleotides) under uncultured bacterium. RNAcentral describes it as "bacterial SSU rRNA". It matches the Rfam family "Bacterial small subunit ribosomal RNA", at positions 33 to 493 of the family's 1533-position model. The record is from RNAcentral.